This 702-nucleotide ribosomal RNA is filed under the name Sabatieria sp. Ugent CeMoFe25H6K12. RNAcentral's name for it is "SSU rRNA". It matches the Rfam family "Eukaryotic small subunit ribosomal RNA", at positions 136 to 924 of the family's 1831-position model. Lineage: Eukaryota; Metazoa; Nematoda; Chromadorea; Araeolaimida; Comesomatidae. The record is from RNAcentral.
UACUUGGAUAACUGUGGUAAUUCUAGAGCUAAUACACGCAGAACGAGCGCAUUUAUUAGAACAAAACCAAUGUUGGUGACUCUGAAUAACUCAUGGUCUCGCACCGGCGACAUAUCUUUCAAGUGUCUGCCUUAUCAACUUUCGAUGGUAGUUUAUGUGCCUACCAUGGUUGUAACGGGUAACGGAGAAUAAGGGUUCGACUCCGGAGAGGGAGCCUGAGAAACGGCUACCACAUCCAAGGAAGGCAGCAGGCGCGCAAAUUACCCACUCUCGGCGAGGAGGUAGUGACGAAAAAUAACGAGACGGAUCUCUUUGUUAUCGGAAUGAGAACAAUUCAAAUCCUUUAACGAGGAUCUAGCGGAGGGCAAGUCUGGUGCCAGCAGCCGCGGUAAUUCCAGCUCCGCAGGUGUAUAUCUAUGCUGCUGCGGUUAAAAAGCUCGUAGUUGGAUCUGCCUCGGAACUGGUAGGCUCACUGAGUUCUUUGCUGGUUUUCCCUUGAUGCUCUUAACCGGGUGUCUUGGGUGGCUAGCGCGUUUACUUUGAAAAAAUUAGAGUGCUCAAUACAGGCGCAAAGCUUGAAUAGUGGUGCAUGGAAUAAUAGAAUAGGAGGUUCUAUUUUGUUGGUUUUCGGAACACAAGGUAAUGAUUAAGAGGGACAGACGGGGGCAUUCGUAUUGCGACGUUAGAGGUGAAAUUCUUGGA